RNAcentral lists this ribosomal RNA (494 nucleotides) under uncultured bacterium. RNAcentral's name for it is "partial 16S ribosomal RNA". It matches the Rfam family "Bacterial small subunit ribosomal RNA", at positions 28 to 507 of the family's 1533-position model. The record is from RNAcentral.
GACGAACGCUGGCGGCGCGCUUAACACAUGCAAGUCGAACGGAAAGGCCUGCUUUCCCUUGUGGAUUGCGGGUACUCGAGUGGCGAACGGGUGAGUAACACGUGAGUGAUCUGCCCCCAACUUGGGUAUAAGCCUGGGAAACUGGGUCUAAUUCCCGAUAGGACUGCAGGGUGGUGCCUGUGGUGGAAAACGAUUUUCUAGUGGUUGGGGAUGAGCUCGCGGCCUAUCAGCUUGUUGGUGGGGUAAUGGCCUACCAAGGCGGCGACGGGUAGCCGGCCUGAGAGGGUGGACGGCCACAUUGGGACUGAGAUACGGCCCAGACUCCUACGGGAGGCAGCAGUGGGGAAUAUUGCACAAUAGGCGGAAGCCUGAUGCAGCGACGCCGCGUGGGGGAUGACGGCCUUCGGGUUGUAAACUCCUUUCGACCGCGAGGAAGCCACCUGGUUGGAAGGGUGGUGACGGUAGUGGUAGAAGAAGCACCGGCUAACUACGUG